Trichobilharzia regenti is the source of this 49-nucleotide non-coding RNA. The record is from Rfam. NCBI's taxonomy places the organism in Eukaryota, Metazoa, Platyhelminthes, Trematoda, Strigeidida, Schistosomatidae.
GUACUGCUGAAUCAGAGUCCCAAACUAGGACGAAACAGCUGUCCAGUAC